Non-coding RNA from Anas platyrhynchos (mallard), 31044 nucleotides. The record is from RefSeq and is a predicted model, not a curated record. NCBI's taxonomy places the organism in Eukaryota, Metazoa, Chordata, Aves, Anseriformes, Anatidae.
GAGAGAGAGAGAGAGAGAGAGAGAGAGAGAGAGAGAUUCUAUAUAUAUAUAUAGAGAGAGAGAUCCAGUACAGAGAUAAAUCUUCUGACCAUCCGGAGAGAGCAUCAGUUUAGCAUCAGCACAGACUCUGGGAGGUGUCUGCUGUCAGACUGAACAGAGCUAUUGAAUGUUUGUGCCUCCUAUAAAGGGAACCACUCUGCAGCUACAGGCACUUCGAAGUACUAGAUCAGGAGAUCACAGAUUAUGUAUUCAGCGAAGGUUAUCGAGCCGCUCAUUAUUCAUGAGCAGUUCUUAUCUGAACACUGGUUCCCAUUGGUGAUUAUUUGCGAUGAUGGAUGGUGGGUGAUUAGAGCUGGGGGCAGUCUGUAGAGUUUGCCUUAGAGCCUGUGUUGUUGUAGCAGUUCAUCUGGUGGUGGUAUGCAGAGAUUCAACAGGACUAGCGUGCAAAGAUAGCACAGUGGGGACUAAUGGCAGAGCUGUAAUGAUCACUGCUCUUUCUGGGGGCAGGCUGAGUGGCCCUUUCCACAAAGGAUGCACACCACCUCAAUGCAAUCCCUUGGAUCUUGCCCAUCUUCCUCAGGAGGAAGAGCAGUAUCUUAUGAAAGCAUCGCUCUUCAUAAACACUUCUUAUCAUGUCUUUUCUUUUUACCUCAUAGCCUUCUCUCCUACAAGCCCUAAUACAUUUGAUGGCUGAUAAGGGCCAAAAGCAGAAGCUAGUUGAGAUAGGAGCCUUGGAAGUGUGAGAAGUGCGACGACAGCUGUUGCCUGAAGACUGCCAGCUGUUGGAACAUAAUCGGGGAGGUCAGUGUACAGCAUCACCUUAAGUUUAUUUAAAUAGGGAUCUAUAUCUAUGGCGAAGACCUACUAUUUUCAGUAGGAGCUGGAGUCAGACGUAAGUGACUUCGGAUGGUGAGCCUUCAGAAGCAGGGUAUUGUCUUGUUCCUGCAGAAUUAUUGGAGCAUGCACAAAGGGUCUGACCCUGCUGACCCCACGUUCUGCACUGUGUCAUACCUUCUCUUUAUCUCACCUCCAUUCUUGAGAUUCUUCCCCAAUCAAUUACUCUCCUUAUCCAGCUGCUACUGUUAAAUCCCUCAUUCCUUUUCCAGAGUAUCAAAGAUCAGGAUUUUGACGCAUUCAGACUCCUUUUCCAAGGUGUUUUCCACUGAUGUAGAAUAAUUAAGGCCAAAGAAGAGAGAUUUAGCACACUGAAGCUGACAUAAUGGAGAACGGAAAGCAGAGCUCUUGUAUUUCUUGUAUACAGUUCCCAGAGACACAAACCUUAUCUAGCUUUCUAACCUCAAUGUUAUUUUUGCUAUACUUUUCUCUUUUAAUCUCCAGUGGCUGCAUUUCAUUCAUCGCUGCAAGCCACUCUAGAAAGCAUAUUGUUUAUCUGCAUGGUAUAUCUAACAAGCUAAGACACAGUGGUUUCAUCUCUGAAUGUUUUUAGCACACUUUGAAUAGGUACAUUACAAUAAGGAACAUAACCAAAGUGCAGUGAGCCCCAAGAGUUAAAUCUAUAGAUCCAGAAAAAAAAACACAACACCCAACAACUUGAAGUUCUUGAAAAAGCCUACAGUACUUUUUAGUCAGACUCCAUAAAUCAGACUGCAAACCAGCAGUUGAAUAUCCAGCAGUAAAUUUUCACUGUCUCCUUAUAACACUGAUGUAUUCCAUACUGCUUCGUAGAAACCUGACUCCUUCUCAUGACAGUUCUAGCUAGGAUGAGUAACUGAAUUUGGACACUGUGAGUACCACCACACUGUACAUCUCCAGAAGAGAAAGCUCCUUGGAACUGAUUUUUCUUUUAAGCCCUCCCUGCCUUUUCUGUUGGGGGUAGUCCACAUGAGCCAACGAGAUAAACAUCCCACAGGCUACAGAGCCAGUGGUCCUUCUCACUUAGCUGAGCCUUUGCAUAGAGAAUUAGGACUGCAUGCAAACAGCAUGCAAUUUCCAGCUCCAAAGGAGCUAUUAUAAUACAAAUGCAUCUCCUGUGAGAUAGAAAAUAAGAUAUAUAAUUGUGACACAGAUGAUCAGGAGAAAAACAGCCUUUUCUUUCAAAUACUGAGUUCUUUCUACAGAAAGAGGCCACAGGUCAACUCAACGAAUCAGUAGUAUUUCACCUGAGUAGUUGAUACAGAAAUUUCUCGAGGCACUCGCUACAUUUUAGAUGCUGCAGACAAUGAACCUCUGAAUACAAUGGAUUACAACAUGAGUAAUAAUAAUAAAAUAAUAAUAAAAUAAUAAUCUAGAGUGAAAACAGGUAAAAUUUUGACUUCAAAUUCUACUUUCUCUGUUCCAAUUGAAUGGGAAAGAGGGGAAAUAACAAUAAAUUAAAACCCAAACUUCAUUUUAAGUCAUAAUACCUGCAUUAGCUUUACUCUUUAUGUCAACUUUUUCACAGAAAAUGUGCUUUUUUUUUUUCAUUGCAGGCAGUUUGCAAUUAUUUCUACACUUCAAACAGUGACAGGACUGGGAGCUGCAAAGCCUUCCCUCUUCUCUGUUGCUAUCAGUUUUUAUGUUACCACCUCUCCUAAAUUCUCAGCACUGCUUUCUGUGUUGGACCUUAUAACUGAAGGCAGUCAAGCUUAACAGGGUCAUUGCUCACAGACACGUGAGCUUGCUUCUGUUCAAGUCUGUGGGGAUGCAUCUGUUUGUAAUAUUGGAUGAUGUGGCCCACAAUAUCUGUUUGCGUAACAAACAGGAAAAGCCAGGUAAUACUAGUAGCUGAGAAUUUCGGCUAGUGUGGCAUUCCGACUUCAUUUAGCUGUUGUAUUUACGGGAUGGAAACAACUCGAAUUGUGCAAUGGAUACCUUAAUCUUGAGUCAGAAAUGGCAAGACAAUUCUCUAAACCAUGCAUUGUACUUUGUAUUUUUCUUCAAGUUUCCACAUCAAACAAAUAUUUCUCAUUCUAAAUUAUGCCUCCUCGCUAGAAAGCUAUCUGCUUCUUUCUGAUUCAAGGCUGGAGAUACAAAUGUUGACCACCUACAGCCCACCCAACAUGAGAACCGCAGGUUGAAUACCAACAGUGCUAUAGAGCCAGCCUGUGACUGAUGUGCUAUCUAUUUCCAGCAUUUAACUGCUCAGUUAGGUCCUUGGAAACAGUAAAACUUUAUGCUUGUUUCUCCAAAGCUGACCAAAUUGCUCUGAGAACUGAAUUAGAAAACAUUUUCUGUCUCUCUGAUUUCACAUUCACCUGGGCUAGAAUGUAGUUGUGUGCAACCCAUCCGAUCAUUCAGGUCAUUGCAUCAGCCACCCAGCCUCUCCCUUAUUUACCACACCUCAAAAAUUCUGUCCCCUGCAGACUUUAUUAGUCCUUAUUUUGCCUCUGGUCCUUUUUUGGCAACAACUCCAUGUAAUAUUAUCAAACAGAAACAAAAGGGAACUGUUGCUUCAGCAUCCACAUUUUGAAAAUGGUGAAUUUUCAUUUGCAGAUUCAGCUCACCUCUAAAUUAGCUUUGACGAGCACCUCAUUACAACCAGUUCAAGUAUGGGGCUGAUUCAGGGAACAGUGAAUUUGGGAGACUGAGUGACUCACACUGACAGGUACUAGGUACUAAAAGUUACCUCAUACUAGUCAUCAUUGUGAGUAAGAAUCAAAGGUGUUCUAGCAGUUUUCAAAAUAUAAAAACCUUUCUAAUUUCUGAAUACAUGAUUUAUGAUUUCAUGUAUUUGUAAAAAAAAAAAAAAAAAGAAAAAAAGAAUUAUCAUAGUUAAAAGUCUGCUUAAGUUCUCUUGCUGCAUAGUAAUGUUAUAGAAUCAUAAACAGUUAAUGCCUUAAGUGUUUAACUAUGAGGACUGAAAAAAUAGGAAACCAAAGGCGACUUCUGCAAAAAUAAAAAAAUAAUAAUGAAAGAAACACUUCAAAGUUAUGUUUGACAAAACACCAUGGGAUUAUAAAGCAUGGACAAAAAUAGCAGAAAUAAAGAUGCUAAUUUAGACUUGAAACAACAUGAUUUCUGUUUUAUCAAAUGACUGAAGAAAAUAGAAAUAAACUCAAAUAUUAUUUUUGAACAUUUCUUUUAAAUUCAAGUUAUUUUGAAGAAAAACUAUUUCACUGGGUUUCACUGGCCCUGUAACUUUUUCUGUUCAAGUCAACCUCCCAACUUUUUCUUUUUUUUCCACAUGGCAAAACAUUGUUUUAGAGUUUACGUAUAUUUUUCCACGUGUCUGUUUCUCACAAUCUCUCUCGUUAAGAGGACACCCUCCAAUUCCAUACUCAUCAACAGUGAGGGAACACCUUCAGUCACUAAAGAUACCAGCCUCCAGAUGGAAGCCUACUUACAAGAAAUUCCUGUCUCGAGAUGCUAGUCAGUGUCACUACAUUUCCCCCACCCACCUCUUGUAGAUGGUCAUUCACCUUUUGGGUCUCUGUUACAAGAUUGCAUCCUUUGAUCAGUAUCAACAAAUAAAAGGAAUCAGUGUGCUCCUGCCCAGGUAUCUGGGUGAGUUCCUUCCAUCUUUUUGGAAAGAAAGAAGGGUACGUUAACGUUUCACUAAACACACAGUUAACUGUUUUUCUGUACUGCAUCUUAGUGGUAUGUAACAAACUUAGCAGUGCCAUGCAGAGGAUGCUGGCUGAAGAAGAAUGAUCAGAGGACAUUUGUUACAAGACAGCAAUAUUCUCAUUUGCCUUAAAAUUCUGUUUCUUAUCAGAAACUGGACCUCCUGCAUUUUACCACAGUACAACAGCAUUUGCCAGAUAUAUCAUGCAAAUAGAUGGGUACAAUAAACAUCUUCCUCUUGUAAAAUUUUAUGUUCCUACCUAAUUCUUCUUGUCUACAACAAGAUACCAGGGAAGUAGUAUUUUUUUCCUUAGAUAUUUUCCUGAGACCAAAUGCAUCUGGACAUGCUCAGUUUGUGGAGCACUGAUAGCAGUGUGACGUGAUAUGUACAUAAGCAACCGACUGAUCUUUUGCUUCCUGGGAGGUGCAGCUGGGGUAGUGCUUCUCUGUGAACAAGAACAUGGACAAGAGAGAAAAGCAAGAAGAAUCAAAAGUCAUCAUUAUAUUUACUAGUUGCAGAACCGAAGAGUUCGAUUUUUGCCUUUUAAUAAGCACAGACAUUGUGCACAGUGACUUUGAAAUCGGUUCUGCUUACUCUCUACCACAGGCACAACAAUAGAACAUGCAGGCUUCUGUGGUUGGAGUGAAUUAGGCUAAAUGUGAACUCACUGAGGCGACAGACUGAAUCCCAGCCAGUUUCCUGCACAACGGGCUUUUCAGAUAUUUUUGUUUGCAUUUAGACUUCUUGUAAUGUGUAACACAUUCAUUUGGAUGUGAGAGAAUGGUCUUGUGGUUUAAGCUCUGGACUCGAAUUCAAAAAAUCUAGGUUGAAUGCUGACUAGUUGUAUGCUUCUGGGUUAGCAAUACCGUCUGUCCAUGUUUUAUUGUCAAGGAACUGUGGCAAAAUCCUGUCUUAACUAUUGGAGUCUAAACUCUGGUGGCCUAUGUGUUUUUUUAUUGUUUGUUUUGCCUUUUUUUUUUUUUUUUUUUGGUCUUUUUGUACAGCUCCUACUUCAAUAGACUCUGGAUCUCUGCUUGCUAAUAAAUAAUAAACAAUUUGCAGACAAGGUUUGAAAAGCACUUCAUCACGGCUGGUGCACACAGGUCUGGGGAUAAGUGUUAUGAAGUUAGUACAGCUGUCAUACCACAGAUUUACAGAACGCUAUUUACAAAAGACAUGGGAAACCAGCAUAUUCAAAUAUGGUUCAAAACUUCCAAGUGGAACCUGGUUUAGCCUUCUGGUCCUGCCAAGCAGGGCUGGAAAGCAGACGAGAACAGUCUUUCAUGAGAUUUUCCUAUUCUGGUCAGGCCAGAAAUUUUGCAAGAGCAGCCUUUCUCAUGGUAUUUUGGCACUUCUGCUUCUGGUCUUGCCUGAAGCCUGGAGGCAGAGCCAUGUGAAAACACUAAUGGAAAAAGCAACUUCUCUCAAUUCAUUUGAUCUUCAGCUACAGCCUGGAAGAUUCGUGUUCUUUCUCAUACUUUAUCUAUGCCUGGCUGUUAUUUGCAGGUCCUAGUGUUUUUUAACUCAUGCCUCCUUCCUUUGCUGUUGUAAACAUGCAGAUUCACUCAGUCUAACCAUUCCUCAUCAAAAUCACAGGAAGAAACUGAAAAUGUACAAUGAAAUCUCAAUCUUAAGAGAUUAAUUUUAAUAAAGGGGGAAAAUGUGCUGUGCAUAGAGCCAACACUGAAACUACCAUAAUACCACCAUCCUCUUUUUCCCAGAAGUUCCCCACUUAAUGGGAAUAACAGAAUGGCUGACUCCAGCAUGGACUUGAUGUAGCCCCUGUAAUCAGUACCAAGACUACAAGCGCCAAUAUCAUGUACACAGUGGAUCUUCAAAACAGAAGUAAUUUUGCAUGGUUUUCCUAUCCAUGUUAUCAUCAAGGGGGUAAAUUCCUUGAGGCAAGGACUCCCUCCCUCUAUGUGUUUCUACAAAGCCUAGCAUGAUAGGUAGCUUCUCACAAAUAGUGAACAAAAAUGUUAGUAGACCUUUCUCCUCUGCAACUUUUACCUUCCAUGUACUGCAGAGAGUCACAGAACACACAAAGGUUUAUAGGAAAGGGUCUCAGACCCUCUUGCCAAGAAGCUUUGCUUCUGCACAGAAGAACAAGGAGUCUUACUGCAUUUUCCCUUUGACAAAUGGGAAGAUCUUUACUAUGGUCAGCAAGCAGAAAAAAAAAAAAACAAAAACAUUAAGUCCCCACUUUCCCUCCCCCAGUUUUUCUUAGGACGCUGUUUGUGAAGACUUCUUAUCUAACCUGCUUGGGGCUAUUUGCAGCAUUACUCUAAAUACAGUGACAUUUGUGCCAGCAUGCCUGCCUGAUUUCUCUCUCACCCCGUCUAUCUGCAACCACUUGUUCACAGCAAUCAUCUGCCAACAAACAAAAGUUGAAGUCUGGGGAAUUUAUAGGAAGAAGCUUUGUGGGCUUUUUCUUUUUUUGUUGUUGUUGUUUUUGGUUUUUGUUUUGUUUUUCCUGGAGUUGGGAGUAGAAGGGGAUAGGAGAUGAAUGGACUGAGCCUUUCAGUCUUUCUUCAGGGUAGCACAGAGCAUUGUCCUCACCUAAUCAUUCUCACCCAAGAACACAUGUAUGCAUAUUAGGACCUCUCGCAUCUGUUCUCGGACUGCAUUCUGGAGACAGGUGAUAGCCAUACUCUGGACCACUGAAAUUUCAUUUAGACUGCAAUUUAUUUCUUGCUUUAACUACAGCUGUUUCUCAGAUGAUAAAAAUAGGCUCCUGUGUUGUUGCUCCUCUGCCUGUUUUGAUUAAAACAAGAUGCAUAGCUAGAUCCUGUUCUGAUCCAUAUGGCCCAGAAGAAGGGAAGGGUGAAACAAAGUUUUCCUUCUAGCAAAAUUCUGGGGAAAUGGAAGAGAAAAUUAACAAGGAACAGAUACUUCCCAAACCUGCAAACCUUUUUAUAGCCUUACCUAGAGUUUGCAAAUUGCAGUGGGCAGAUCACUAUACCGCAGUUGUCUCGGUGCCUCAGUUUGUUAAAUACAUGUUAAUAGAAGAAAGGUACGUGCCAUGACAAAACCAACAGCCCAGGAGGAAGUCAGCAUUAGAUCCUUCCUCGUCGCUGUGACACGCAUGAGAUACCACCGUGUAGUUCUGUUGCCUAUACACCAAGGGAGGAGUUAAGGACAAUAAUCACGUCUGGCAUCAGUGUGGGCAGCAGCUACUGCACAACAGCAAUCACCAUGUCGGGCUUCAGAGGGGCUCACCAGACCUUGAAGAAAUAUCUCUGAGAGACAUCAAAAUGAAGAUUUUGGGUGACCUUUAAUUUCAGUAACGAUGCUGUACUUGGUCUCAAGUAUUUCUAGCUAGUACAGGCCUUACAGAAUAGUACGUAGGCAUCACCACCUUGCGGAGGUGAUUGGAGCGGAGCACGAUGCCGCCAGCAAUCAGAAUUUAGCCAAGAACGUGAGGCCAGCUAUGGAGGAUUAAGUCAUCUUAUGGUUACAUGCCUCAAACUUGACUAGUGACCUAAUCAACAGUUUGUUGUCAUGGAUCAUUAGGUGCUGACUGCGGAAGAAGCACAAGAGAUGACUGUUUUCAGUCACAGGAGUGAGAAUAGCUAUCAAAACACAGCACAUUUAAUUGAAUCAGAUGAAAUAUUUGUGACUGCCAAAGUCUGUACUUGAACUAGAUUACAGCUAACCUUCCACUGAGCUCUGACCAAGUAUGGAUACUUGGCUUUUUCUCAUCUUGUUGCAUGUUUAUAGACCUUUGCUACGCUGAAUUCCAGAGGAACAGGAAGCAGACACGUUGAGUACUACAGGAAAAGUUAUCGUCAAGUUAGCCCAUACAACCAAAGCACAGGUGAUACUAAAAGGUUAAAGGAAUCUUUCAUCUAGAUAUAUCCAAGUCACUUUAGCAGGCCUAGAAAGUUUUUGAUAGGAAUCUGAGGCUGGGAAUGUUUAUCUGAACCUAGCCUUUGAACCUCCACAAAUUCUGCCCAUUAUCAAAUAGGUUUAGAAAAGAGAAAUAAUGUAACCCAGAUUGAAGUGGAGACUACCAGGUUAAUUAUGAGCCCUGGAUGGGCUGAAACAGAUCAAAUUACUUGGAUUACACGGAAAAGAGUUAUAUUAAAUGCCCAGAGCCUUUUGUUAGGGUACACAACAAAAACGGGGUGAGGAAUGAAAAAAACACAUCAAUGCGCACACAAAAAAAGCCAGAGUGUUGAUUCUAUAUCCUACACAUCUUUGUAACUAGUUAUCUUUGAUCAUGAAGCACCUCUUGUCCUUUAGUGCUGAACUUGCAAUACUGAAAAGAGCAGAACAUUUUAUAUUAAAUUAUUUACUUAUGGUCUUUAUGAAAGCAUUUCAUAGUUCAGCUGCCUGGAUUGCUUUCCGUCUUGAUCUGGCACAGCUUUAUCUCACAGCAAAAGGUGCUAAAUCAUCAAGUGUGCUCAGGCACAUCUGUGAUGUCACAUCACAUGCAGGAAUUAUAUAUUUAUUAUGUGAGGUGGUGUGCAUCUGUCCUAGUAGGUCAUUCAUGUCGUUGUCUUGAUCAGUGACACACUUUUUUUCCUUUACAUGUGCACUGUAAAGUUUUGAUUUACUUUGAGAGCACAGACAGCUUUGGCAAGGACUCAGUUUUUAAAGUGAGCAGUUGCACGCACCUAACUGGACAAGUGAGCUGAUCAAAACCAGGAGAUAACAGAGUAUAUUUAUAGGGAGAUACAUUUUUGGAUGCCUGUGGGAAAGGCCAGUUUCCUAGUCAGGGAUGACAUAGGCUGUGCAUGCUUACUACAGCUUUGGAAACAAGUUUUCCUUUUACUAUUUUCUUUACAUUCUCAGUGAAAGCAACUUGCAGAUAAAUCCAUGUUACUCAUGUCAGCUCUAAUGCACUAUUAGGCUUAAUUUUAGUAUUUCUCUGUUGUUGUUGUUCCGAAGUCUCCAGGACAAAUUCUCUCCUGGCUUAGCUCCACUGACUGCAGUGAAGCUGUAUCAGAAUGGAUUUAGCCCUACAGUUUAUCUUUUUUUUUUUUCCUCUUCAGUGCUGCUGUUGUGCUUGGCUAAGUACGUGACCAGCAUAUAAAGACAGCAAGCUUACAUUAGAAACAAGUCACUAGAGAAACCGAGAAAUCUUUCUGAGCUAUCAAAUGUCUUUUCAUGGGGUGUAAAUGACAGCACAGUUCAUUUCCUUUCUUUUCAAUAUCUUCUGGCAGAAGGACAGUGCUAACUGUCGUGUAAACAUCAAGUUUUACAAAAGAUUUCCCAAAAGUAAGUAAAACACUAGCUAGUGUUGCUUAGUUCACUUAUCCCAUUGUUUAUCCACAAACCUGAAAUUCCCAUUAUGGAAUUACAAACAAACAAUUACAAGCACAACUUUCAAACAACCCCAAAAAAGGCUCUUUUCAGGCAACAUAAUCUGUUUCAACAUACCCAUGUUCCACAUUAAUGGUUCAGCUGGUAAAACAGCUUCCUGAGUUUGUUGCUGAUCUGCUGUGCAGCAGACCCCUGGCAACUCUGCCAGAGAAUGCCUCCUAGGCCAUCUAGGAUAGGGCGUUCAACCACUAAUGCAGGAUUUUCCCUCUCAUGAUGUCCUGUUUUCAAUGACUCUGCCAUGAAGCCUCCGUGCUCAACACCGAGGUCAACUCCACAGUCUAAUUACUCGUUUGCCUCUCUUACUUUUCUUUUUAAGGUUGAAAGAGAAAUGCUUUUGUAGCCAUAAGGCACAGCAACCACCAGGAAGAGAUGGAAAAGUUUUUCAUAGAGAGAAAUCUUUCUGAGUAUAGAAGUAUAGAGCCCUUUAAUGCUGCAAGAUCUACAUUCAAGGGGGAAAAAAAGGAAAGAAAACUGUAUAAUCACUGGUUACUAAAACAGCAUGGAGUAUCUCAUCAGGCAGGCUAGUAACAAAUCAGGUUAGCCUCCCAGAAGCACGUAUGCGGAUAUCUGUCUACCAAAUUAUUUAAAAAACACAGUGGAGGAGAAGAAACAUUUCCAUGGUUUUGGACACAUCGUGAAUUUGAUAGAGAGCAUUGCUCUGUUCGCACAGAAAGAUCUGAACAUGACCAAGAUGGGAGCACCAGGAGAGCAAUGCUCUUCCUCAUGUGGUGCGCCAUGCUGGUGAGCUCCUUCCUGAAGAUGCUGCAGUGACAAAACAGCGGCUUACAGCUAGACGUUUGCUAAGCAGAGCUCUUGGAGAACAUUACCACGACUAUCUUCAAUGCUCUUGGUAGUCCUGAAUUAACAGUUCCUUUUUUGUUGCCACAUAGACCAAAAUCUCACCCAAUUCUCACUUGGAGAUCAUUUUCCCAAGUUUGUCUUGUUACUUUAAAAACAUACUUUUUUCUUGUAUCUUGAUCUUUAUUAACACAGGCAGAAAAGAAAUCCUGAGAGUUCAACAACAGAUCUUGCAAUAAAUCUCUUCAUCAAACUGUAUUCCCAUGCUCUGCAAGCCUAAUCGCCAGCAUUUUGGAAACUCAGUGCAGCACUCUCAGGCCAGCUCAUCCAGUAAGGCAUUCUGCUUUGAUGACCCUGGGGAGCUACUGCUUGUUUUUAAAUGUCAUCUACCACGUUCUCAAAUUAGUCAUCAAUAAUUUAUAUUCCUAGCUGCAAAAACACCUUUUUCCACAACACUUCAUUGCCAGUGUUUUUUAUCAUUUGCUGGAUUCUUAGCUUGAAAGAAGAAAACCAAACCUAAUGUUUUACUGACACUUGUGGAGCUCUCCCACCCUGCUGGGGAAGCCUAAAUACAAGCAGAUUGGAGCAGAACAGGAACAAAGAAGCUGUGCUAGAGGAGCUUGCUCUAAAAACACAGCUGAGCAUGCCGAGCUCCAAACGCACCGGAGACGCAGACAAUAACAAAAAGCGAGGAUGGAAGCUCUUGCUGUGAAACCUCUUGUCCCCGUGCGUCUCUAUGAACACACUCAGCCCAGAAGGGUUUCGGCGAAGGCCAGCGCACGGCUCAGAGGCACAGCCAGGGCAUGCAGCUGGGCAUAAAGCCUUUUGUGUUCGCAAGGGCCAGGCUCCUGCCCAGGGAGCCAUGUCUGCUUGCUCACCCAGGCUGGGGUGCUGCCUGCUGUGCCUCACUGGGGCCCCUGCCUCUAUGGGCAUUUCUCGGUACAGCCAGUGUAAGCAUUUUUUAACUAUUACUUACAAAAUGGCAGCAGCUUCCCCAAGGCCAUAUCUUUGUUUCUCCGUACAAUGCCGUGAUUGUGUAAAUUGUCUUGCAUAAGCACAUCAACCCACUCUGGAAUUCAUUUUUCCCCCCUUACGGCCUUUCAUUGUUGUUCUUUUAUGGUGGGAUUUGUUCUUUUGCCAUCUUGUCACAAUUCCGCUCCUGUGGCUAUGGCACUUUUAAGGAACAGCAUGGUUAAGCCUGGCCUUGCAACUUGCCAGAGGUCCGGGGAGUGGCUACUUCUGAGGGCACUGCUGCUGCCAACCCGGGCUGGCUGGUUGCAUUGUCACACAAGGCAGUAGAGCUCCCAAAAACAUCAAGCCCAUAGUAGCUACUUGGAAGUCUUACGUCCUAGUCCCUUCCUGCAUAUAGCUCCAUGUACUGUCUCCUAAAUCUAGUAACAUGACUCGUGACACUGGAAAGCUGAGGAGUGAGAGAAAACUUCCCUCCUAGCGUGACCGGGCAAAGCAAGCCCGUAAGUUACGAAUGCAGAGAACCAAGCCAGCAACACACCAGUGACCGUGAGACUAACAGAAUUUGGGAGUAACUGAGGACGUGUACAACACUCAGUUUAAGGGGCUACCUGGCUGCCAUUAAUCCACAGCACCUCAUUCUUCAGUACUGUGUAGCCACGUCUUUUUUCGGCCUGUCUGCAGAACGAACCACAAGUGAAACCAGACUCUGAGAGGAACUUACAAUUCGGUCUUUGAUGCCUAGACAGUGGCUUGGCUCUCCGGAGCUUCUUCAUUUCUACCUGUCCCUACCUUAGCUGCAUAUCCUCCUUUAAGGACUCUCCUAGUAGCAUACGAGCUCUGUCUCUGGAUUCCUACAUGCAAAGAUCCAUUCCUGGGGAACAUAUCAGUAAAGACAGGUAUUGUUGAUCUGCCAGCAAGGAUGUAACCUAGAUCUCUGUAUUGCAAAUGCUUUGAUUAAUCUUAAAAAAGAAGACCCACAGAGGUUAAUUCUUACCGCACAAAGGUAGCCUUGUACUCCACUGAAUGACCAGUAAGGAAUCAUCUCAAGCCUGUCUGAAGGCAAUGGAAAGUCCAUUGCCUCUCUGCAAGCUUUGAAAUGAGCCUGGAGGGGGAUCAGCCAUACUGAACAGAUAUAAUUUUUACGUAGAUAUUCUUCAUAAUACAAUCAGUCUUUAAUGGAUAGCAUUUCAAGAGUAAAAAUACUGUAUGUAAAUACUCUAAGCUACAUAAACAAAAUAAUUUUCUCCUAUUAAUCAUGUUUGCUGUUGUAAAUCUCUGUUUAGCCACAUUAAAAAAGAAUUAUAUCCUCAAGGCUUGAAUGCUAUAAAAGUUCAGAUCAGACAUCACAGACAAACCACAGAGCUUAGUGGAAGGAAUUGUUUUCUUAUAAGGAAAAGUGCAUUACCUUCAGUUCUUGCAAAUUUAGAGUUUGCCUCUUGAUGUUAAGCUACAUGAUGUUAUCUAACAACUAUACUAGCAGGAUGAUACUAGAUGAACAUAGGGUUAUGCUGUAGUCGAGGAAUUAAGCAACUCAAUGUGAGUUAAAAGUAAUUUCCUUGUCUUGGUGCAACUUUGAUGUCACUUCUCAGUCUGACACAACAAUUAGGAUAAGGCCCAAACACUGCAAACACAGUGGAAGUUGCCUUUAUAAUGCUUACAGUCCAGGUCUGCCUAGCGGCCUGUUUCCUUCCACAAAUGUACAGAAAACUGCUUGCAUUCAUUUCUGAUGAGCUGAAAGAGCAGAAAUCUGCAUUUCAUAAAAAUACUUAUAGAAAGCUGCUGGCAUCGGUGAUUCAGAAUAAAAUACCCUUUCACCAGCACAGUGGAGAACUGUACCAGCUUUUUCUCUUGACAUGUGUCAGCCUCAUUGCUUGGGUAUUAAUAUCAGAACUAAAUGGUUUCAAUUCAGAAUUGGAUCUGAAGCCUCAGCUGAGGACAUGUUUUACUGAAUAAGGCAUCAUUAAUGAACCCUGGCAUAUGCUUCUGAGGCUAUGUUUGGCACAGCCAUACGUGAGACUUGACUUCAGUCCUCAGCUAAAAUGCUUCAUGUUGUUUGCUGCCAUUAAUAUUAUUCAUGUUCAUAUUGUUUGUGUGUCCCAACACACCCGCUCAUUGCGUUUCAAAGAAAACUGAAGGGAGAACUACCAUGCUAGUUGCUAGAUAAAACCGGCAAGGGCCUGCCUUUACUCUUUCCUGGUGUGGUUCCCCUGCUAGUACCAGUGCAUGUUCUCAUCAAGGCUGGGCUUUUCUGCUGACAGUAACAAGAGGGGUGUGCUGGUUAAAGAUGUUCAGGGUCAUUUUUAUUUCUCCGCAUUUUUUUUCUGAAGCUUGGCUUAGCAAACAAGAGAAAGAUUUCUAUCAUGUUAGAAAAGGAAUAUUCUACCUUGGUUUCAGCUACAGUAAAAAUUGUUGUCUGUACUGUUCAUCUUGAUCCAAACAAGUGAUGGUGGGAACAAUGCAGCUGCAGAACCAAAAUACAGAGGAAGUGGUAGAUUAAUCCCUGCUUUUUCUUUUCUUUUUGAGAAAACGUGGAACACACCUAUUUAGCAUGAGUAAAUCUCAAUAGAGCACGUUCAGAUGGACCAACUUUCCUACUUCAAAGAUCAAGCAUAUGUCAAGAGAGUCAGAAAUAAAAGAUCACCAGAAAGGUACAAGUUGACAUCUGCAUGCAGAUCAUUGCACAAGGGACAAUUAGACCCUGGGUCUCUAAUUAUACUAAUUUUCAGUGUACUAAAAACAAUGAAAUAAAUAGAUGUACAGCUUUAUUACGCAGCAGUAGUUUCCUCCCUGCCAGCCCAGGGGCGUCACACAGAGCUGGCACAGCCAGAAGCCAGUGGUUGGUAUUGGUUAGCAAUUAGCUAAGUCAUACAUGGAUGAAGAUUGCUUAGAGUCCCCUGCUCCUUUCACAAGUUUCAUUCAGUAACCUUCAUACCAGCUUUUCUCCAGCAUCUGCGUCAGCAAAACUAACAGAGCGAAGAGGAGCUCGGCGCUGGACUAAAGGAGACUCCAAUUGUCCUGAGAACUUUUCCCAAAGACAAAUCUUUGCCUGGCCAGAGUGCAAAGAGGGCUAUGGGAAAAAUAUAUAUAGCACACAGGAGGCCAGAAGACCUGGCAUGUAGCAGUGUCCUACAGUCUAUUGCUGCCAUGACUUGGAGAACUGCCUGCUUAGAGGGGCUAAUGAGGUCACUUCGAGAUCAUGGGCUAAAAGCUUUUUUCCAUCUUUCUCCUCCUGAGCAUAGACUUCCUUCCAAUAACAUUUCAUCUUCCCAAAGAAACAGUCAGAACCUCCAGGUUUGAAGGAAUAUAUCAUACAGAAGGUCUACAGCCCAAACAGAAAAUGAAGAAUGAGUUUUUUUUAUUUAUUUUUAUUUUUAAAGAAAUUAACCUGAUACCAACAAACCUUUAAUUAUUAGCUUGGGAUCACAAAGCCCAAAAUGCAUGGUAGGGUUCCACCAUGGCACAAGGCUUUCUGCCUGAGAACCAAAGCACAAACCUUCCUCACAGAGGCGCAGUGGCACGCAAAGGAGUAAGGUGCACUCUGCAAAGCCAGUGCCUCCAGUCCCAGGCAGGCAGCCCUUCCAGGCCUAUUCCCUGACCGCAGAGUUUUUGCCCCAGGAUGUUUUCUCCAUCUGCACACUGCAGUAUGAAAGCAUUACUUGGGAUGAAUAUCACAGAAGCUUCUGUUCUUUGAAAAUCACAUCUGAUAUCUGCCUACUGGCAAAACGCAUCAAAUGCCGGCAGGGGAGAGGGGGAACACAAAGCGGAGGAUGCGAGCAUGCACUGAGCUCAAUAGCAGAACUCUUCUUGUUGUUGUUGGCCUGGCUAUUGUGGCUUUAAAUUACAAAUUACUUUAAAUUGUAAAAACAUUGAUAGCGAGCCCUCGAGAAGGAUCCCCAGAAUGGCAGUAAAUAAAGAGCAUCCUUUCCCUUUUCAGACCACGAUAACGUGGGAGGUGAUACUAAACCCUUGGCAAGCACUGCAGACCUCAGAGCUAAUGAGUUGAAAGGAUGUGCAUAUACACAGGGACCCGAACAAAGGCCUUCUAGUACACAGAAAAAUCACUGCAGUAAUUACCUUCGAGGUUGGGCAGUGCAACACAUUUGUUCUUCUAACUUUGGAGUUGUCCUCCAGCAUUUUUACAAAGGAUCCUGUUACCCUGGAGCUGGCAGGUGGCUUUGCACGGAUCCUGGGGGCUCGCUUCCCUGGGAAAGCUAAGCUAGCUCACAAAGUGCUUCCUUGUCAGACCCCUUGCCACUCUGAAAAGAGGACAGAUCUCUCUUUCUGCUUUGUCCCAUGUCUGGACCAGCGGCCGGGAGUCCCACCUGCUCCUGCAGCUCACAUCCCCUGAAACCAGAGCCCACCCAGCAGCUGCACAAACCAUCGGGGCAGGCCUGCAGCGGGGCGUCGAGCAGUUGCCAGCGCAUGGCCGCGGUGCUCCCUUCUCCUGCCUCCGCCUCCGCCGUCCCCGAAAGUAAACACCGGCAGCCCCCGCGGUGAACUCGAUUGCGAAACCGCAUGGCACUGAACUUUAUCUCUGCGCCGAGCAGGCUGCACAAAGGAGAGCGGCUCUGGUCGGGAUUUUUCUGCUGCCAGCGAGAGAAUUCUUUCCAUAGCUCGUGUGUCCUCACUAGAAAAGGAAGCGUGCUUUCAAACACGCAGAUGAACGUGAUGUUGUAAGGCAGCUCGUUACCUCGCUUAGGCAGGGCCAACUCAGGUCUAAAAAUGCACAUUUACAUGCAGUUGGCUCCAUCAACAUUUAUCCCGUUUCCAACAGUACAACUCCAGUUAUCUUUUACUCCCCCCCUUGAAGCUCUCAAUGUAAAAAAGCAAAAAAAAUGUUUUAAAAAAGGCAAGCCAGUCAAGUUGCAAAGCUCAUUUUCCGAUCACAGCAACUUCCUUGUGACCAGAUAAUGUGAACGCGUUUUGGUUCAAGCCUAAUUAUAACAGCAUGCAGACACUGAUGCAGCUUUUUUCAAGCUGGUAUUUCCAAACUGGCAAAAGCUACCACAUCAAAAAUGAGGAAACCACUCCCUUGGUGAAGAGAUGAUGGUACAUUCAAAAAAUCAGGGGAAAAAAGUCCUCAAAAAGCCAACAAAUUCACUGAAGCUAUCCAUACACUGAACUGGUGGUCCAUGGAUGUGAGCAGUAAUGCUCUACAGAUGCCUUGCAAUCCAAGUCAAGUUGAAAGGAAUUCUUAGUCUCACCCACACAAGAGAUCCUGGGUUAAAGCCAGCUCCAGAAAACAGCGCUCCACAAUGCUUCUCCCAUGUAACAGAGACCUCUUUUGGUUCCCUCUUUGAUUAUGAUGAUUCUAGCAGCCAGAUAAAGGAUCAGGAUCCAGUUCCUCAUGCUGAGAGCAAGUUUAUCCUUCCCCCUUGCUUUCCUAACGAUAUUUUGGUUUGAGUCAUUUACUCAGUGCCAUGACCUGAAGGAAGGACACUGUCUUGAAAAUUUUUAAAGCCAUCUGCAAGCAUUGAACAUCCACUCAACCUAUUUAUACACGUUCUCGUGGAAUAGGAACAACAGCCCCCACCUUAGUUUAAAUUUUCUAUCUCAUGUGUCUCAAUAUUUACAGGCUAAACCACUGUUUCAGUUGAAACUGAACUUUCAGGACAGAUUUGGGCUUUACUACUUGUGCCUUUCCUUCCUCAUCUGUCUGGAGAUAUAGAUACCUGUCUGCGCAUUGCCAGGCUCUGAGAAGGAAAACUAAUGUACGUGUGUCAAGGGGAAGAACCUGAGCGGAAGAAGAAGACUCUUACUGCAUUUAGGCCACAAAAAUUAUUAAAAACAGGAGAAGAACCAGCUUCAGGAGGGUGGGUAGCUUACAGAGCUAACCCCUGGUCGAAGCACACACUAAAUCUCGCUGUAGCUUACAAGGUCUCAGAUUUCAGAGCCUUGGAAGAUUAGCAGGCUAAGCAGUGGUGAGCUGUGCUGUUCACAGCAUGUUCUUUGGGCCCUCAGGAGAGGAAUCACAGUUUAGUUUUGUUUUUAUAGCAGAUUUCUAGCCUUUUUCCAUUGCUUUGAAAGUAAAAGUAUGUAAAAGUAUAGCGAAGGUAAAUUCAACAGGGCUUUUUUUUUUUUUUUUUUUUUGUAGCAGGAGGGAAACGGGAGCCGGUGCACAACCCACCAUGGGUGCACACAGACACGUAAAAUGGCUGAAUGAAAUCUGAGGUGACUCACUAUUUCAGCGUAUUUUGUAGGCCAUGUUCCAAAAUGCCAGCUGUUACGUCUGUAACCCUCCUGUAGCUGCAAGCAAGCCAGUUGCUGCUAACUGCUUGAAAUUUCUGCCGCUGCCUUCACACCAGCGUUCGUCUACCUCUGUGCAUCUUUGCUCUCUCUCAUUUCCUCUUCCGGGGAUCAUUUCACUAGUAGGGAUGGGGAGGCAUUGGAUACCCCAGGUCUUUCCACUUCCCUAAAAUCUAGAAGCUUCCCAGGAACAUCUGCUCCUGCCUCCAUAAGCUUUCCUACCACUUCCAGAGAGACUGCUUAAUCCCCUCCCCAUCACCUAAGGAGAGAAGAGAAAGCAAAACAGAUUUCCUCUCUUUCUUCCCACAGCAUGAAACAAGCACUAACUGGGUCGGAUAAUUUUUCAGGUCUCCCUUGUGCAAAGAUACCUAACCGAAUCGUCCUUAGCAGCUGUGCAGCCCUGACUUAUGUCAGUGGGGUGGCUGGCAUCUUGGGCUAGAAAUGCAUCUUCACAUGAAUAUUUUUUUUCUCUGUCUCCAUUAUGUAUCUUCUCUCAGUUAGAAAUAUUCCAGCUGAAUAUAGAUUUGUUGGAUGUAUUCCAACAGAACUCACUGCUCCUGCAGCCAAGUUAAAAACCUGGUUCGUACAGGACUGUGUGCUUCCAAUGCAUGGUUUUCCCCAGAUUCUAAUGUACCGGUUAAAAAUCAGAUCACCCCUUUCUGCAACAGAAUCUGAUGCUGGAGGUUACAGCAAAUUCUAGCAAGUGGACAGAAUUUUUCCUCCCUAAUUUUGUUUUCCUCGGGGAGUUGUGGUUUCCACGUAAACACUUCCAUGAGCACCCCCUUUGAGACACGCCUGGAAGAAAGUAUGUUCUGCCUCAUGCAUAUCCACCAUAUCUUAGCAGCUAAGAAAAAUAGCUCUGUGGUCUCACUGCACUUCACCACAAUCACCUCAGCCCGGCCGAGCUGCAAGUUACUGAACAGAACAAAGCAGAAUAGGCAUGCUGAGAGAAAGCCAUGGCUGGUACCUUCACUGCUGCGUCUGGACUUGGCCUGUCUUCUGUGCUACAUUCCUAGCUUCAGAAAACAGUGUUGGUAACCCACAAAAUACGGUAAAUAAGGACAGGGAUAACAUAACCUAAUUUUCAUUCACUACUCAUUGUAGCGUGGAGCAGCAAGAGGCACCAGGCUGUGACAUUGAAGUACAGCCCAUUUCAGGCAAUUUGCUCUAAAAUCUAGAUCAUCAUUUCAAAAUAGUCAAAGGACUUUGUUCCUCACUAUUCUUCUGUAGUGUCUGAAGUACACUGCUUUACCAUAGAAGAUCCCUUUUGAUGUCCACGCACCUCCCCAUAAGCCAAGAGCAAUAUAGUUAGGCCCUUGGAGGACAAGAGGAAAAAUGUAAAUGUAACUUAUUCUUGGAAAUAAGUUGGAUCUCCAGCUCCAGACCAGAAAAUCUUUGAACCUGCCUGAGCAAGCCGUUCAGUUUGUGAGCCCAGCCAAUCUCUGGAUUUGCUGUUAUAAAAGGGACAGAAUCCAAACCAUGGACCUGGAUGCUCAUAAGCUCUCAGGCAUUCAGUAUUUCUGGAUUCUUUUUUUUUAUUUCAUUUUUUCAAUUUUACCCUGAGCCCACUGCUAAUUUUUCAUGGAAGACAUCUCUGAACCUUUUGGGUUGGGGUUUUUCCUCACAUGCACUCAUGUAUGUCAGCAUCCUAUUAAUCUUAUCAAGUAACUAAAUAAAUAUUACAUAAUACUUAAUAAGCAAAGCCUUGAAUAAUGAGUUUGGAGCAGAGCACCCAGAGACUUCUUCCACAACUUCCAAAUGCAGGCUCAAGAAGAAAGGCAGUCCUGGGAUUUACAAUGACAGGAUGUUUGUCUUUAAGGUGUGCACCUCCAGUAAGCAGGUUCUGAAUUCAUCUUGUGCAUAAUCAUUGACGUUCUUCCCUUUGAGCAAAAUAAUCAUUCUCGAUCCCAGUGGAACAAAGGGAGAGGCAGACCAAGCAGAAGAGUAUGUGUGGAAAAGCUUGCAGUGUGGUCACUUGGUGACACAGGGACUGCGGAACAGAAACCGAAGCUUAGCGUGAGCUGCCCAACAGGACAGGGGACAGAAAAGCUUUGCAUCCAAGGGGUGAAAUUCCAGAGGAGUUGGGUUCUUGUUUGUUUUCUUUUCUUCAAGCUAAACAGCUGGCUGGGAAAGUCUGCUUUCCCAGGGAAACCUAAGCCCUGAUGUAGGUAAAAUGGCCUUUGCUUUCUCCUGUUGGUCUCUGCUUUGUGGCUUUCUGGAAACACAUUUCUGAGCAAUUGAACGAAAUUUUAUUUUGGUCUAGAAAAUAAUUGAAUAAACCAAAACACAGAUAUUGGUGUCUGGCAGGAAAAUGUUACGUGAAAGAAUAGUCUGAGGUUGUGCUGGUUAACUGCACAGAGCAGAAUUUCCAAAGGAAAAUUUGCUUACAGACAUUUGUAAUUUUGGUAACAAGGUACUUUGUGGCCCUUUUUUUUUUUUUUCCUUAGACAACAGGACUGAAAAACAGAUCCUCAUCCAAAUCCUGUAGCUCUUAGUUCUUAGACAACUGAGCACUCCUCAUUCCCCUCAGAGCCUCCAGGGGAUGCUGGGUCUCAGAAGGGUGCUACCUGGAAUAAACUUCUUGCACUUUGCUAAAAUGGCCAGAGGAACCUUAUGGAAGCGGGGGGGCACUCAGGUCCCACUGUUUCUCAUCACAACAGACAUCUUGCUUUCAGCUUGCAAUUUCCCUGGUUUAUAGGCAUGCUACAUCUGUGUUUUAUUCCCUGUGUUCAAGCAAUACAACUCCCAUUUCUUGCACUGCCUUAAUAUUUAUUAGGGAGCAAAAUGGUACGUGUGCUUUUGCAGUUGCUGCUGAUUUUAUAUCUGAACCUUGUAGUUCCAGAGACUAUUACAAUAAUCUACCGAGCUUUAAAGAAGUAGGGUAGAUUGGGAUGUUAACACACCAAUUGGCCCCUUAUCAGUAAUCUAGGUCUUUUCUCUAGAUGCAUAUCAGUAAAGACCUAGCUAAACAGCCAUAAACUUCUACUUUCAAGCAGUGCAUGCAUCCUGCUGUGUAACAACCCUUUUGAUACUAAAGAUAUUUCCUGUCAUGUUUUCUCCACUGCCAAGCAUUGAUUGUUGACAUAAGUGUUUCAUUUAAUAAAUAUUACCAGUGUGUACGAGCGUGAGGGGAUGAUUCAGCAGUGUCAGGGGCCACGUGGCAGCAGUCCUAACAGGAAGACAAAAGUGAUUGCCUCAGAGCAAAUAAAUCAGGCCCCAAGUCUAGAAGACUUAGAGAAACAUCAUUUUUGCACUACACUGCCCUGCCUUGGGGUAGCGUUAAUAAUGACAACGUAUCCAUAGGAACCAAUUUGUCAGGACAGGCAUUUGCAAGUCUGCCUUUUAACUGGAGACAUACAAUGCCUGAAACCCAGAAUAAGCCCAGAGCCGGGAGACCUAGGGUCUUCCCCCCAACCCUGCCCAGCUGGGUGACAUGAGGCACACCUUUUUUCCUCCAUCCAUGCUUCAACUUCUCCUGCGUAAAAAGGGCAUCAUGACAGUAACCUCUGUAAAGCAGCCUCCUGGUCUGUGUAACUUCAUUAAAACAAGACUCAUCAAAAAGACUUCUCCAUCUGCUGUCCUAUCAGCCAUACCUUUUCAAAGCCUUUCUUUAUAAUUAAAAUUUAGGAAACUUAACAAAUGUGGCAACUAGAGCUCAAUAAUUUCCUGGACAGCCAGUUAAACACAUGGAGCAUGUGACCAGAAACUCAUAGCCAGUCUUGGGGGAACUCACUGAGCUAUUUCUUUCUUUUUUGAUGUAGAGAAUUGAUAACAGACUCCCACAGUUAAGUCCAUGAAAUCUGGUCAUCCUUGAACUGCUAUACCAAAAAAGAUUAGCUUUUUAUAGCAAAAAUGCUGCAGGUGGAAAUGCCAAACUACACAAACAGAAGCAUACGCUACUGUUCCUUACUUCGGUUCCUGAGUAUUUUUAAUUCAGCUGUUUGGUUGUGACAGCGUUUUUUUUUAAUGAACAAAAUUUCUGUAAAGAAUUACGAUAUAAUGGAGAAAGCAAAGUUUUGCAGAUGAAGAUAAAUGCUGAGGCUUUCUCAUUCAGGAGGACCACAUGCUCAAAAAAAUGAUUGCAUCUGCGUCCUUGUGGUUAUUUACAAAUGAAAAAGCAUUCAGUAAGAGGAGCGAGCGUUCCCAAGCUUCCCUAAUGUUUAAAACCCAAAUGUUUAGAAGCUUGUUUGUCAGCAACAUAUCAAUUUGUGGUCUUUCAAAUUCACAAAAGGUAAGUUUACCACGUUACUACUGGAUGAAUUCCAUACAACCUUAAUAUGAGGCUGAUUGAAAAAUUAAAUGGUAUUUUAACUAUUAGACAUCUGUGAAAAUCUAGUGUAAAUCACAACUCCUGUCUGCUCUGUGUCUUUUUUUUCCUAAUAGGCCAGGUUAGAAUUACUAGUAGUUUUUGUAACUUGUGUUGAAUAAUUAAGUAGUGUUGUUAUACUAUUAAAUACUGUGCAAAGUGCCCUUUUGUUACCUGAAGCAGACAGGGCUGACCCCACUGCAGACCCCAAAUCUUUGAACUUUAAAAUCUGUUGGGACUGGGAAUGCGGUGUGAGGAAAUAUCAGAGCCAAGUGAGACCUGUAGGAUUACUGUGUGCUCUUGCUGGAUGAAAAUUCUGUUUUUAAAUUGACUUUGAAAUAAAUAUUUAGCUAUAGGCCUUUGAGAGCCCCGGUUUGUUUGGGUUUAUGUUCUACACCAGCACGUCACAGUAUUUGGUAAUUCACAUCCCUUGGGGUGGCUUCCUACUUAGAGCUUUACACAAAGAAUGCAUUUUCAGGCUAGAUUUCCAGUAAAUAACCCUGCAGUUCCAGGAGAUGGACUAAAAUAGCAGCAUGCCUGCAGCUCAAUGCCACUUAUAGUUAAGUUCAGAUCCCUCUCUAUUAUUCUGAUGACAUCCUCUUCUGUCCCUCCCCCAACACUAGCAUCUUUGUCAGUGCCCUCUUCCUAGAGGCAUCUUAGUUCUCACUAAGUCCUCCACAGCCCUAUCUUUGUGAGCAGCCAUACUCUUACGGCACCCUGCACCAUGGUGCUGGAUACUUUCUUCCAGCCCCACCCAUCAUCAUCAUCUUCCACAACCCGUUUCACAGCUGCAGUGUGAGUUCUGCCAACGCUGCCAAAAACCCAUCAAUGCCCAGCACCUUUUCUCAGACCGCUUAAGCACAGAGAAGAACAACCUCAAAAAAUAGAACACUCCUAGUCAAGGGCAGGGACUGCCCACAUGCUUCAAGAAGUAUUCAAAAAAUUCAUUAGUGGAUACAGAAUCUUAAAAUAAUGUGGCAAAGAUAAGUUUUAUGAGCUGUAGUUGCCACAUGUCCUGAGGUAUAAUGGUUUUUAUUAAUUGCAGAGGAGUUUUUACCAUGCCUGAUUCAUUGUUCUCACUCUUUUCUAUAAACUCCUGCUUGGUUCUUGGUCUCAGCAAGUGCCAAAGAUUGGAACAAUACAUUGUAUAAGGCAUAUUUCUUUUAAAUCUCUUCAGGACAUUAUUUUCUAAUUUAAUUUAAUGCCUUCUUAUGUGAAAAAGAGCUAGGAGAACUUCCAGUUAACUUACUCUGCACUUCUGUCAUGUACUUAUUCACUCACUGUGUCUGAACAGUCCCAGUAUUUAUUUAGCCUUCCCAAAAGUCUUCUCAAUCUCUACUCUUUAUUGCUAUCUGUCUGGAAAUUGCUUUAAUCUCUCCCAUAACAUUUUUGGGAAAGAGUGGAAUUCAAGCUGUGAUUAAUGGGAGAAUGGGAAUGGAAAACAAGGUGAUAAGACUGGAAGAAGGUCUGACAUACAUGAUCUAACAUCAGGUAUUAACCUCAGUAUAGUUUAGAAUGGCUAAAUGAAACAAAACCAGCAAAUGAUUCUUGAUUUUGUAAUGCCAAAUGGCUCACUAGUUUUUCAGUCAGGAAAAUGCAACUCCUAGGAUAAUUCAGGUUGGAAGGGAACUCGAGAGAUUUCUAGUCCAAACUCCUGUUCAAAGCAGGGUCAGCUGUGAGAUUAGAUUGCAUUACCCAAGGCUUUGUCCCAUCCCAGAAAGCUCCAAGAAGGGAGGCUGCGUGACCUUUCUGGCAGCCUUGCUUUCACUGCUUGACUCUCAUGGUGAAAAUGUUUUUCCAUAUGUAUGCCCUGCACCUUGAUAGCUUCGGGUUCUGCCCAGUGUGUAUGCCCUGAUGAAGAAGCACGGCUCCACCAGCCUCUCCUCACACCCCAGAGUGCUGGCUUGGCUGCCAGGGUGCGUUUCUCACCUGGGUCCCUCUGCUGCCCAUCAGGGUCUCCAGGGCCAUCCUGCAGCAGUCAGGACCCAGCCUGUCCUGCUGGCUUGGGCUCUUCAUCCCCGGGCAGGACAUCACGUUAUUCCUUGCUGAGGUUCGUGCAAUCUCCAUCUGCCCAUUCCUCCAGCCUGCCUCGGUCUGUGUGACCGGGAGCCCUGCCCUCGAGCAGAUGGACUGCUCCCCCCGGCUUAGUGUCACCCACAGCCUGAUGAGCAAGCCCUCCAUCACCUCGUCCACAUCAGUGGUGAAGAAGCUGGACAGGAUGGGUGCAAGGACAGGCCCAUGUGCUAUCCCACACAUUACUGCCAUCUGGGUAGCGUACGACCCGCAAACCACUACCCCUCAGGCCCAGUCACCCAACCAGAUUUUUUCCAACCACAUCAGCCAGACCAUAACAUCCUAACUCAGCUACCAGAGUGCUGUGGGAGAUAUUAUCAACAACCUUAAGUCGAAGUGAAUGACAUCCACAGUUCUCCUCUCAUCCAUAAAACCAGUUAUUUUAUCGUGGAAGGCAAUCAGGUAUGAUUAACCCUCAGGAAAUCCAUGCUGAAUGCUCCCAGUCACCUCCUUCAAGUACCCAGAAGUGGUUUCCAGGAAGACUUGCCCCAUGAUUUUUCCAGGGACCACAGCAAGGUUGACCAGCUUUUUUCCUAGACCAAUCUCCUGGCCUUAUCACACAACUGAGAGGAAAUCUGUGCUGAACAGCCCAAACAUUUCUGAAUCCGAGGAGCUGUUAAUCACAUUUGAUUAGCUUGUAAACGAACUCUUCCAAAGUUGCCAUAUAGCUUUCCAUACAGAUACCAUGCUCAGUUCAGCCCCCCCCAGAGUGCUUUAUUCUCCUUUAUGCCAUCUCAUUCCAGGACAGGGCGCUAACUAGCUGGCUGACACAUCAGGGUGAGUUAGCAAUGUGUUACGGAAAAUGUGAGAAAAACAUCUGAAUGCUGAAGAAAACGUUAUUUUUGAUCUUGUUUUCAUAGUGUUUUCUGUAGUCCCUCAACCACUUGCUUUUCUUCUCUCUCCUCCUUCUUUUCCUUUCAUCCCAGAAUGUUUCUCCUCAUCCCAUCUCUUCCCCUGGACUGCCUUGGCAGCAGGUAUCACUGAGCAGAGGAGAAGCCUCUUUCGCACUUCUGUAUAGUUUACUACUACUCACUUUUCCAGGAAAGUGCUUUCACUUAUCCCAUAUUUCACUCUGCAGAGACACCUUGGCCAGCAUGUGGCACAUUUUCCAGUCACAGAUGUCUCUAUCAGAUUCAUGCCUGGCUCUCGGAGACGUGGUAAAAGGGUUUUUUUGUUGUUGUUGCUGUAUUUGAACUAGUACAAAUGUUCCCAAGCCAAUAUAAAGAAAAUUUAUUUAUUCUCUUUGGCUCGUGCUGGAAGAGCAGGUCCUUCUGACUGCAUGCAUCUGCCUCAGUACAUAUGGGAGGGCUGAUGUUUACUUCCAAAUAAACAAUCAUCAGGCAUGCCAUUAAAGGAAAAUGACUGAAUUGUUAAUACACUCCCUUUCAAACAUGGUUACAGCUCUGGGCUUACACUAAGUGACAAAACAUACAGCUUUUAGGUUGUGAAUUUACAGUCGGAUCCUUGGGCCUAUGAAGAUUUUCCUAUAACUUCAAGGGAAUUUCAAACUGAACUACAGGUCAUGCUGUUUGAAAUGAGUUACAAGACUGGAACCUAAGAUUACUUUUUUUCCCCUAAAAAAGGAAAAAAAAAAACAAAACCACAAACCACCUAGCUGCCUGCUUUUAACUUCUGAGAGAGUGCAGUUGCACUGUAGAAUCUGAGUCAUCUUUAACAACAGCUAUGCACAUUUUCAGAAAUAAGAACACUACGGAUCUAUUGCCAACAGAACAAUAAGAAAACAACCAACAAAACAACCACCUAAACAAACUAUGAAGGCAAGCACCAGAUACAGGGUGAUAUUUCAAACACUCUUUUCUCUGAUCGGAUCUGUUUGUUGAACUGCUCCGUGCUAGCAGUGGGCUGUUCUCAUGCAGGAAGGAGAGAGCAGCAGCAGGUCACUACGCAGUAACUCAGUUUGCUUCAAUGCAACCAGCCAGCAUUUGCAAACCACUUUGAAAAUGGCUAAAUCCUUGGAAAAAAGGAAUCACUUGGUCUGACCAAAUGAACAUCCCAUAAUCUUUUACUUUUGUUCCCUUCUUUGACUUUCCUUUUUUUCCACCAUUACAAUAUAGUGAAAAAAGGUGCCAGGAGAGGAGGGAGAGAAAGAAGGAGAAAGUAAAAACCCAUUUCCUUGGCAAGUCCAACUCAUGUAUAUUCAAGGAGUUCUUCUGGUCAAUCUUGCUUAAGGUUUUAACCAAGUUGUACCCGGAGAGUAGCGUCCUAAACCACCACGAAGGGCAAAUCCCUGCUUUGAAACUAUCUGUACUCGCUGUUAUCUUUGCAUGGCUGAAGAGCUAAGUUGAAGGGGAAAAGUGAACUGGUUGGAUCGUGCACAGGCAGCCGUUUCUGGAGAGCAAUGCUCCCAAGGAGAUGCAGGGACUGCAGCAGCUUCAGGGUGCUGUGCAGGCAACAAAUGGGACACCUGCCAGUUCUCAAACUGGAUGAGAGCAAAGCUAUAGGUAUACAGCCUCUGACUUCCACAGCUGCUGGGGAAGUCUGCAUUACAUCAGUAACAUUAUAGCUCUCCUAUGGCUGUUCAUCCCGGGCAGUAUUGCAGCCCCGAUUUUAAUUGUAUCGGAAGUAAACUCAGCAGAAAAGCCUCUUUGUCCUGAGUGAUGGACAACUGUUUACUUCCAAUUUUAUGCAAGGCCACACAUGCAUCACAAGAUGAAAAAGACACCCACCCCGCACCAACCAGUCUUUUCUCAUGGUGUUUCUGGAGGAUGUGAGCAAGAAUUGUAAAGCACUACAGAAAGAACUGUCACAAAAUCCAAAAUCCCAGUCCCAAUUAAACAGUCUCGGGACCUAGGAAUUAGCCAUUUUCAUGUCUGUUUAUCCUUGCACCCAUUUGACUUAAAUGGAUAACAUAGCAGGGAUUUUUUUUAAAUGUAUUUUUAUGUGUAAAUAAAAGGCAGGAUUAUUAAUUCCUAGCACAGCUUGUCCCAGAAACAAUUACGGACUCUGUAGUAUCUUGCAAUCUUGGCAGCUGUACUGUCAUCUUAUAUGGGAAUAUAGAUGCAUGUUUGUCUUGAGAGCUCCCAAAUCCCGGCAUUCUCCUUAGGAAAGAAUAGGACAGGAAAUUUCUGGGUUACUGGGCUCUUUGGCGCAGCUGUCUCUUUUGCUUUCACACGUAGUUCUACAGCAAGAUGAGAGCCAUCUUAAGUAAUGGAAACAGAGUCUCAUUCAGCAAUGAUUCUUUUCUCUUUUGUCUGAUCUAAAAUGGUCUGAGUGUUAGGAAAAGUAACAAGCACUGAACUUUUCCCCACAUACACAGCUCACACAGUGGAAUCAAACAGAGCUGAGAUAAGAAUAUUUUUCUUUUCUCUAAGAAAAAAGUGGUUGAAUUCAGAUUCCAUCGAAUUAAGUUUACUGUUGGAGACAUAAGACCAAGAUCCACUAAAAUUUUGCUGAUUUCCGUCAUUUUUUUUCACAUGUUCUCAAAGUUAAAUGUACAUUUUAGAUCUUGCUUGGAUCAGAUUUUGUGCUAGGGUGAGUCGACUUGUGACAGAAGAUACACGCAAACACCUAGGUCUCAGCUCUCAUGCCUAAAACUGUUAGGUAUCGAGCGCCAAUGACACAGGCUUUUUUAAAUUCUUAAAUACUUUGUCAUAUCCUGCAGCCCUUAAUCAGUUCCAGGAGAGUUUUCCUUGUACGGUAACGGAACUUAAUCCAUUAUUCCUCUUUCACUCUCCUUUUAUUCUAUUUGACCCACCUUGCUAUGGUAAAUCUAAAAUUAUUAACUUAGUUUGCCUUACCACAUUCGUAUUAAGCCAAAAGUAACUGGUGAUCCAUGAGGAAGAGCGAGGGAUAAGGAAAGAUAUGACACAUCGCAGGUACCAUAGUGGAAUGAAACCUUCAUCCCUUCAAGUCCUUUUUCUGGCUCUGGAAAGGUUUGUUUCCUUAAAUCAAAUUCUCCUUCAGCCCUAUUUUGUGCUUUAUAUCCAAAAAAUGUAAGUAGGAAAGGGCCUACAACAAGAGGCAGAAAAUCACGUCUACUGAGUAGUUUGCAUAUACAGUUUCUGAGUAACAGGUUUUGUCCUUUUUUUUUUUUUUUUUUUAACAUAACCUGAGAAACAAUAUUAGCUUGCUAGAAAGGAUAAAGAAUACGUACAGAAGAGGGAAUGAGAGAAAGAUACAACCAAAGCGCUAAAGAUGUAACAAGACUACAAGCAUGGAUUUUCUUGAUGGGCUACAAAGCUUGAAUCUCCCUCCCAGGUUUAUUCCAGUGUGAGACGACACAGAAGAAUUAGGAAUUCAAAGUGCAUACAUUUGCACAAAGCUUAAAGGAAAGCACAAUAAAUAUUAAAAUAUUGAUGGUAAUCAUACGUUUCCCAUCAGUUCUAAGGCUCUCAGUAGAAAAUAAGGAAACAAACAAAUAAAGCUUCUAAUCUUUUAGUGCCUUACAUUCAAUUCCCUCAAACCAGAUACUGAUUGCAAGGGAGAAAACAUCACCAUCCCUCUAUUUGCAGUUGUCCCUACGGGAGCUGCAUCUUAUUCCCACUGAAUUCUGCAGUGCAGCUCCAGCUGUUGCCAGUGCAGCCUGAGCUGAAAGCACACGGGCCAUUCAGCGCUCCGUUAUCUGAUUCGCCCAUGGAUUACUAGCAGCGUGAUUUGCCUGUACCAUAAUCUGUUCACACAUCCUGACAAGGAAAUGCGCAGCUCAGAAGGCAUACAAUAUAAACCACUGCCAGAAACCAACUGUGCUUAUUUUAGGCCUCAAACAGCAUUAAACAAUUCCAGCAGAAAUAGCCAACUGUUGGACGGCAAUAAGAUAUUAUCUCAAUGUAGAAUAUUUCAGAGCAACACAACCAGCUUAAAACUGCAUGCAUUUUAACUGAUGACACUGACCACAGCACACAAGCCCCAGACAUACAACUGAGGAGAAACAAGCCAAAAGACCUGGGGAGAAAGCUCCUUGGAGUCCUCUACAUGUGAUAGAAACAAGCACUGUAGAAAUCCUCUGAUAAUCCCCUUUUUGGGCUGUGUUCGCAGUGCUAUCUACUUCACUUCCUAUGAUACUGAAUGUUAUGCAGUCCUUUGAGGUCCACCACUAGCCAUAAAUCCCAGGCAGGAAACAGUUCUCAUGCCUAGGAGGAAAGACGGCGUUUUAUUUUCUAAAGACAGCUCAGCGUAACCAGGUCAAACCAAGUUUGGAAUUGAAGCUCUUGAAAUCCAGGAUAUAAUUGAGUAUGUUUUUCUGUUUGUUUUGUUACCGGUUAACCGGAUGCAACAAAUAAAACCAUUUUCCUUUCUUAUUUUCUCUCUCUGGCUGUCUCUUUGGGAGCUCCUUUUUGGGAGCCAACCUCUCCAUAAGCCAGUGCUUGAGGUCAUAGCUCCCUAACUUUUAGACAUCUGCUAGGUCAGAUGGACUUGAAGAGAAUCAGCUGCUUGCAGCGAGCACAUUUUUAGCACGCUGGAGUCGCUGACAAAUGUUGAAGAUAUCUAUUGCUUCUUCUGCUCGCUAAAAAAUACAUACAACACCCCAUUUAAAAUUCCUUGAUUUGAUCAGAGCUCUAUUUCCAAAGCUGAUGCAGAGCAUUAGAUUAAGGGUUCAUACCCUCAAAUGUCUAAAUUGUAAUCUACAGUAACGGUAGAAACAAGUACAAAACAAAAAUACUACCUUCACUUUUGGCAUUACAUACUGAAUUUGGUCCAUACUGCAUUACUUUUAAUUUUUUGAAAAAUCAUAAAAGUGCAGUUUAAAAAAUAAAAUAAUAAUUUAGUGUUGAACGCCUGAAAAAUGGAUUGAUAAGAAAACAAAACUCCAUGAUCACUGAAACAUAACAUCCAAAUCCAGAGCUUCUCCAAAGUGCUAGUUGCUUAUAAAGCACUUAGUAGCUUCUUACAUUCAUUAUUUAAAAUGGUUCAGUUGUUUCAGUGGCAUACAUAAGAACAAGGCAAAUAAUGCCUCAUCUCUCCAAGAACAAAAACACGUAUACAGAUGAAGAAAAACACAUGUAAUAAGAAAUUAUUUUGUCUUUUUAUGCCACCAAAGGCUUGUCCUAGAUCUCCUUCAAGCCACCUUUUACAUAGCAUAAAUGAAAUGUUAUUCUAAAAUAGCAGCAAAAGCGCAGUCAGUUUUUACAGUAAGGAAAAAAAUCUGCCUGGAAAAAAAUACACCAGGCUUGAUUCAAAACUUGCUCACUCGCUGGAGUGCCAGGUUGGCAGCUGUUGAAAGUGCAAUGGGAUUGAAAGGUUUCCACAUUGCCGCUAAGCUCUAGCGCAGCGUGUUAGAUAUUCAUCCUCGCUUGGCAAAGAGCAGCAGCCCCAAGCGUACUAAUUUCUGUCAAGCUUUCAAAACUCUUAUUCAGGUGCCUAAAAAAGUGGAAGGUACGAAUAACUUGGUAACAUACCCCUCAAUGAGAACCUAGAAGACAGUCACAAUUGCAGAGGAUUGCAGCAAAUGUCCUUCCUUACACUUCAGCUCUUCUGUUGCGUGUAAGAGGGGAAUGCUGGCAGCAAGAUUCACAGCCACUAUCAAUCCACCAAGACGCAUCUAUCCAUCUAUAGAUAUUUAGACAACCUAAGGAUGAGUCCUCAGAGAUCUUCACCCAGUCUAGUGUCAUGUAAAGAAAUAGGAAAAAUCAUCACACAUUAAAAAUUCUUUUAAACCUUGCUCAUUUUAUCUUGUCCUCCAGUACACUUUAAAGUUUGUGUGCAGACUAAGAACUACUUCCAGUUACGCCCCUCUUCAAUUCAAGUCUGCUGAGACAAAGAACAUGAAGGAGGCAAAGUACACUCAGCAACUGAUGAGGUCUCUCUGCAAGGCUACAAGUCUUCCUCUAUGCUUCUGCAAAAAAUAAAAUCUUAAGAA